This is a non-coding RNA of Oryza glumipatula, 209 nucleotides long. NCBI's taxonomy places the organism in Eukaryota, Viridiplantae, Streptophyta, Magnoliopsida, Poales, Poaceae. The record is from Rfam.
CCCUAGUUUCCAAACCCUAGUUUCCAUGUCCAACAUUUGACCGUCCGUCUUAUUUGAAAAAAUUAUAAAAAAAAAUUAAAAAGACAAGUCACACAUAAAAUAUUAAUCAUAUUUUAUCAUCUAGCAACAAUGAAAAUACAAAUUAUAAAAAAAUUUCAUAUAAGACGGACAGUCAAAGUUGGAUACGUAAAAAUAGAGUUUGUCUUUUU